GACGAACGCUGGCGGCGUGCCUAAUACAUGCAAGUAGAACGCACAGUUUAUACCGUAGCUUGCUACACCAUAGACUGUGAGUUGCGAACGGGUGAGUAACGCGUAGGUAACCUGCCUGGUAGCGGGGGAUAACUAUUGGAAACGAUAGCUAAUACCGCAUAAUAUUAAUUAUUGCAUGAUAAUUAAUUGAAAGGUGCAAUUGCACCACUACCAGAUGGACCUGCGUUGUAUUAGCUAGUAGGUGAGGUAACGGCUCACCUAGGCGACGAUACAUAGCCGACCUGAGAGGGUGAUCGGCCACACUGGGACUGAGACACGGCCCAGACUCCUACGGGAGGCAGCAGUAGGGAAUCUUCGGCAAUGGACGAAAGUCUGACCGAGCAACGCCGCGUGAGUGAAGAAGGUUUUCGGAUCGUAAAGCUCGGUUGUAAGAGAAGAACGGGUGUGAGAGUGGAAAGCUCACACUGUGACGGUAUCUUAACAGAAAGGGACGGCUAACUACGUG
Molecule: ribosomal RNA, 505 nt
Filed under: uncultured bacterium
Lineage: Bacteria
Description: partial 16S ribosomal RNA
Rfam family: Bacterial small subunit ribosomal RNA
Source: RNAcentral